Molecule: long non-coding RNA, 5966 nt
Filed under: Theobroma cacao (cacao)
Lineage: Eukaryota; Viridiplantae; Streptophyta; Magnoliopsida; Malvales; Malvaceae
Description: long non-coding RNA (TCAC_LNC004001)
Source: RNAcentral
UUGGAUGUAGUAAGACUUGUUCUCAAGUAAAGGUAAUAGAAAAGAGGUGUACAAGAAUAGGUACAAGAGAAGAAGCUGUACGAGAAUAGGUACAAGAGAAUAAGCUGUACAUGAAUAAGUAUACGAGAACAAGAUAAGAGGGUGAAACACUUGUACUUCAGGAAAGGGUUAAGAGGAACACCUCUUAACUACCUUCAUAUCUGAGCCACCAAGCCAAACUCUCUGAAACAUCCCAAGAUGAAAGUAACCCAUGAACUCUGUCACUUAUUCUGAGCUACUUUCACUGUCAUCCAAGUGAAGCGGUUAUUCUAUUCAAAAUGGUUGUUCUACUUGUAUUAGUUGUUCCAUAUGGAGUAAUACUUUACUUUUUCUAAUUGUUCUACUUUAAGUAGUACUUGAAGUAGCGCUUCACUUAUUCUGCGUGAAGUAGCGCUUCACUUGUUCUGCAUUAUAAAAGAAAAUCACAAAGCAAGAAUAUUUAUGUUACCCUGGCUUUGUUUCAAUCCUUUAUUACUCUGGUUCGUUGUAAGGUAGGUGUGGUUUCUGUUUGUUUGUUUUUUUUUUUUACAAAUUGGAGUAAUAGGCUUCUUGAUUUAUUUAUUUUUUAGUAUUAUUUAUUGUUUUAUUUUGGCAUAUAGUGUUUAAUAGAAAAGAGAAAUAUUAGAAUAAAGAAAGCAAGAAAAGGAAUAAAGUGAACGGCAUGUCAGCUAGAGGGAGAAAUACCAAAAUAAAGAAACAAACUAGUAAAUGCAUAAAAAACUGGCAAAAGCUGAAUGUCUUCCUUUUUUUUUUNGACUUAAUUAGUUGAAUUUUUCUUACUUAUUGCCCCCUACAUGAAUUUUUUUUAAUUAAAAUAUGAGAAAAAAUUUAUGCAUGAAAUAUUUUAAUUAUAGAAGAAAAUCACAAAGCAAGAAUAUUUAUGUUACUCUAACUUUGUUUCAAUCCUUUAUUUACUUGGCUCGUUGCACGACAGGUAUGAUUUCUGUUUGUUUUUGUAUAUUAAAAUAAUAAUAUCAAAAUCUAUAAUUUUGAUAAGUUUUUGACUAUUUUACUUUGUGGUUGUGAUUUUUUUAUGCAUAAUCAAUAAGUAAAAUAGAAAAAUUAUUAUGUAUGUAUACUUAUAUCUUUUUUCAUGAUCACGUUUGUAGGCUUCUUUUUCCAUCAUCCUCUAUGCCUAAGACGUCGUGUCCCUCCGAAGAUCAAUUAUGGUGAGCUUAGAAGGGUUACAACAAGAAAAAAAACCAUUGCACAUAAAAGGAAGAAUGGUGAUUCCAAAUUAGUUGCUCCCAAAAAAAUUAGAGUAAGAAAGAGUGGUGAAGUUCCUCCUGUUCUUGAAAAUUGGGAAGAUGACAUUAUUAGAGAAAGAGAAGGAGAUCAUUUUUGGGAAGAGGUUCAUGCCAGACAAGUUGACGAACAUCCCUCAAAGGCCGUUGGAUAUGAUUGGAAUCGUUUAUGCUCAGAAGCACCUCCUCAUAGAAGAAGUGGUAUUUCAAGACAAUCUAUUCUGAAGUUCAGGUUUGAACGUGGUGAGUUUCUCUUUUUUGCUACUAAGUUAGGCUCCAAUUCUCAAUUUGUUCAUGGUUGGGAUGAAUGGGUAACUAAGGUGUUGAAGAAUCCUUCUUCUGUUAAACUUCUCUCUUCUGCUGGGAUACUUGAUGCUAUACGUAUCACUUCCAAGCUCAAUAUUCGUAGAGAAAAAAGGAUAGAUGUGUGGCGUACUAUUCUUGGGAGGUGGAGCACGUUUUUUCAUGCUAUGAUUACUGCAUGGGGGGAAUUUACCUUCACUCUGGAAGAUGGAUGUGUUCUCUUGAAACUUCCUUGUAUAGGAAAGGAUGAUUUUCACUCUAUUAAGCGUUCUAAAGAAGAGGUAUGUACUCGAAACUUUUUCUUCGAUCUACUUAAGAGUUUGAGUAAAACUUCGAAGGUUGCACGAUUCUCUAAUUGGAUAGGGGUUUUUUUAUAUAAAGUUCAAUGCUAAAGGUAUUGAGAUCGGUUCUCCUGAGUACCUAGACCAUAAGUAUGAGCUAGUAGCUUUAACAAUGUUUUGGUUGGCACAACACGUACUCCCAAGGUAUCCAGAUGAUGAUAUCUCUUCACCAGUUGUUCCUUUAGCAAUAAAAAUUGUUAAGGGAAUACGUUUUCCUCUUGCUCCACUGUAUUUAGGCUCAUUAUAUAAGAGAUUAGACUUGUACCAACUCAAAACUGUUGAAUCAACUGGGCGUUACAAGGUUUUGACUUAUGUGGAUGUUUCCUUCAUUCAAAUGUGCCUAUGGGAAAGGUUUGGUACUUGCGCUCCUGUGCCUAAUGCAUAUCCUUUUGCAUCUUUUUCUGUGAAUAACCCUUUAUCCAGGAAUAACUACAGAGCUUGGGCAUGGCAUGAUCGACUCCCGAGAGGUAAUGUUCUUGAAGUGAUGGAUGUGACAAAAGAAUUCAAUCCCAAACCUUAUGUGCAGCCCACAAAUGGAUUCGGUGAUCCAGGAAUUUAUUAUGAUCACCACCCUCUACAAUCUGAAAGAAUGAGUUCACAAGGUAUUAACUUUUGUGUAUGGGUUCACAGUUCCCAAUUGUCAUCUAUGAUUGAGAGUUCCAGUUCAAGUGGAGAUAUAAAUAUUCUUUCUGUUGAGAUAUAUUCUCCUUUUAGAGUGGCACGCUAAUUUAGGUUUGAUCAACCAGCUCCGCCUGACUCUUCUUCAACUAUCAGUUUUUCUUCUUGCAUUUCUUCAUUCCUCAUGGUAAGACUUCAACUUCGUUUAGAUAAACUUAAGAGUUGUACUGUCCCAGCUUUUGAUAGAGUUGGUAUUCACACUUCUGAAUGGUUUGCUUAUUGGAUGGAGUGUGUUGAAGAAUGGAGAUAUUUUAUUAUGCCUUUGACUAAUCCCAGAGCUUGUCUCUACACUCCUCCUAUAAGUAACUUCGAUGUAUCCUUACGCUUAAUUUCUCUCAAAAAGAAAAGAAAUGUAAAUGAAGAAGAAGAUGAUGUUCAUCGCGUUCUUACUCAUCAAACAAAACAUGUGCAUCGAAAAGUAAGCUCAUCCUUUGCUUCUUCUUUUUUUACUUUUUUUUUAAAUUCAUUUCCUCAUCAUACUUUUUUUUUUUUGUAAAGAGAAACAAUUGCGAGAGUAAAAUUUAACUCGAUUGAAGAGGAAGAGACUUUUGAAGCUGAGAUUGAGGAAGAAUCAUGUGACUCUAAACGUAGUGAUGAAUCUGAUGAUGAAUUAGUUGAUGUUGAUAAAGCUGAAAAUGAGGGUGAGCUAGCCCCUUUUGAUGAUUUCCUUGAUUUGGAUGUUCUAUUUCCAAAUCAUGUUCAAAGCUCUACCAUGAACCAGGUAUAAACACAUCACUAUGUUAUUCCGAUUGAUGUUGUUCCAUUUUUUUUUUUAUGAAGUUAAGAUUAUUCUUACUCCUCAGGUUAUUCGAGAUGAGGUUGUUCCUGACACUGAGACUAUUCUUGCUGUUGAAGUUGUUCCUGAGGCUACUCCAAAUGUUGAGGUUAUUCAUGAUGUUAGAGUUGAUAGUGACGAUGUUAGAGCUAUUCCAAUGACUCCUCAUGCUUCUUCCUCCCUAGUGCUAGAACACAGAGAUGCAAGUAGUGCUUUUGGCAUUCAAGUAGCACAUACUCUUUUGUAAAAAACGUAGACGUCAUUUGUUUAUGAUGGAAGUGUUGGGUAGAGCUUUAGCCAUUUCCCAUGCUCCACUAAUGAGUACUUCACCAGAGGAAUUGCAACAGAUGUUACAGGAUUUCGAUGAUGCUUGUAACUUUGGAUUCAAGCUUGAGUGCCUCAGUGAUUGUCGAUCUAAAGCCAAGAUUUUUCUCAACAAGUCUUCCUUGGAGAAUGAGUUAAAAGAUAUUGCAGCGAAGAUAGCUUUACUGAAAAAACUUGAAGCUGAAGUACAAGAACAAUUAAAUAUAUUUGCCAAUAAUAACUCUUCUCUAUGGAGUAUGUAAUUGACUAGUCUUUUGCUUUUCCUUUGCUAUUUUUGAAAGCUCAUUUGAGCUAGUACUUCGCUAUUGAUAUAUCAUAUUUCUUUUUCUUUUGCAAUAAUAAUAAUACUAUACGCUUGUUGUGUAUGUGUUCACAUUUCAUAUUAUGUAUGUGGCCAAAAGGGACUCUCAACUUUACAUCAAGGAGAUUAACUUUAACUUGAUAUGAAGGAGAUUAAUUCAACCCUUAAAAUAAGUAAGCGUAAUAGCUGCGGCCAAUUUGUGAGUAAUAAGCUAGGGCCAAGAAAUGAGCUAUAAAGCUUGCGGCCAAUAGCAUAACAUCAUUACAGCCAAAUUAUGAGCGAUAAAGCUAGUGGCUGAAAUGUGAAUAAUAAAUUGUGGUCAAAGAAUAAGCGAUAAAGCUUGCGACCAAAAGAAGAAUAUCAUUGCAGCCAAAAUAUGAGUGGUAAAGCUUGCGGCUGAAGUAAGAAUGAUGAACUAUGGUAAAAGAAUAAGCGAUAAAGCUUGCUACCAAUAGUAUAAUAUAAUUACAGCCAAAAUAUAAGCGAUAAAGCUAGCGGUUGAAUAUGAAUUUUUUUUACUGUCAAAUUGCAAUUCAUAAAGCGAUGAAGAGUUAAAGUCAUAGAAAUAUCAUACAUGAGCAGAAAGCGGGUUGUUCUGGACCGUGUUGUUCUCAAUCAAUAACUAUUCUGCUUGCAUUUUCUUAUGGAAUAUUCCUUUCUGAAAAGGAUCUCUUCUUUCUCUACCUCUUCUUUAAAUUGCAUUCACUCUUGGAGUAUUCUUUCUAUCGAAGCAAGUAGCUCUCUUUUGUUUGAGAACCGUAUUAUUGGUUUUUCUUGCCAUUUCCAUUAAGGUAGCAAAAGUUGGAAGAGGUAAAUUCUGCUAGUGUAGCCUACACUCGUCAAACAUUUUUUUUGAAUGCAAAUCGUCACCAACUCCUUCUCAUCAUAAGACUCUUGUAUAUCCAACACCCUUUCUCUAAAGUGUUAGAUGUAUUCCAUGAGGUCUUAUCUGGACUUUUGAUAUUUUGUUCCCAAAUCAAAGAGAUUAACUUUCUCUUGAGUAAAGAAAAAGAACUCUUCCCUAAACAUCCACAUUAAUUGUAGUUUAUCCAUUUCCUUCAUUCCCCUUAGUGUUUGUAACUAGAGGAAUGACUUCAUCAGGUGCACUCUCAUUAAAGUGUACAGAUUGAGCUUGAAAAAUGGUGGAAGUGAAGGAUAAAAGUUGAGAUAUGGUCUCCAACAUCUGCCUAUUGUUGUCUUCUAACAUUUUCAUUCUCUCUUAAGAAGCCUCAAUCAUUUUCAUCAGCUUUUGGAUGUAGGUUGGAAUAGAUGCAUCUUGGUUACUAAAGGAACUGUCUAUUUCUUCCAAUAAUGCAAAGUUUUUCUAGUAAGCUUUUACUUAAUGCAAUCACUCCUCCCUAGUGGAGUCGCCAAAAUGUAAAGGGGGUUCUUGUGAUAGGGAGAGGAAGCGUUGCAAAUAAGUAAAAUGAUGUGCCAGAGGCGGCAGAGAAGAAGAUUGAAGCAAUUCUUGAAGUACUAAGUGCUGUGACAGGUGGAAGACAAUAAGAAGAUACUUAAAGAGACUUAGAGAGUACAAGAUAAUUAGAAAGAGAAUUUAGAGAGAGAAGCUCUCAAGUUGAGAAUGUGUUAGUUUGGAGGGGGAGAGAAGAGUCCUUCCAAAUGAAUUGUGAGGCUCUAUAUAUAGUGCUAAAAGUGACGGUUACAUAAGAAUAGGCUUUAAUGCGCUUAAUGAAUGACAUUAUUAUGAAAAAUAUUAAUGUAAGUAAUCGUUACUGUAAUUGGAUGUAGUAAGACUUGUUAUCAAGUAAAGGUAAUAGAAAAGAAGUGUACAAGAAUAGGUACAAGAGAAAAAGCUGUACGAGAAUAGGUACAAGGGAAUAAGCUGUACAUGAAUAAGUAUACGAGAAUAAGGUAAGAGGGUGAAACACUUGUCCUUCAGGAAAGGGUUAAGAGGAAGACCUCUUAAUUACCUCCAUAUCUGAGCCACCAAGCCAAACUCU